AGGAUGAACGCUGGCGGCGUGCCUAACACAUGCAAGUCGAACGUCCUGUCUCGCAAGAGGCAGGGAGUGGCGGACGGGUGAGUACCACGUGGGUCAUCUACCGUGAGGUGAGGAAUACCGGCGAGAAAUCGCCGACAAGACCGCAUAGGCUCGAUGCAAGUCGAGCAAAGCUCUUUCGAGAGAGGGAGCGCCACACGAGGAGCCUGCGCCCGAUUAGCUAGCUGGUGGAGUAACGGUUCACCAGGGCGACGAUCGGUAGCUGGUCUGAGAGGACGAUCAGCCACACUGGGAUUGAGAACGGCCCAGACUCCUACGGGGGGCAGCAGUGAGGAAUUUUCGUCAAUGGGGGCAACCCUGAACGAGCAACGCCGCGUGCAGGAGAAGGUUUUCGGAUCGUAAACUGCUUUUCUCGGGGAAGAGAAUGGACGGUACCCGAGGAAUCAGCCCCGGCUAACUACGUGCCAGCAGCCGCGGU
Molecule: ribosomal RNA, 475 nt
Filed under: uncultured bacterium
Lineage: Bacteria
Description: SSU rRNA
Rfam family: Bacterial small subunit ribosomal RNA
Source: RNAcentral